GGCGACGGGUGAGUAACACGUGGAUAACCUACCUAUAAGACUGGGAUAACUUCGGGAAACCGGAGCUAAUACCGGAUAAUAUAUUGAACCGCAUGGUUCAAUAGUGAAAGACGGUUUUGCUGUCACUUAUAGAUGGAUCCGCGCCGCAUUAGCUAGUUGGUAAGGUAACGGCUUACCAAGGCAACGAUGCGUAGCCGACCUGAGAGGGUGAUCGGCCACACUGGAACUGAGACACGGUCCAG
This 242-nucleotide ribosomal RNA is filed under the name uncultured Staphylococcus sp. RNAcentral describes it as "partial 16S ribosomal RNA". It matches the Rfam family "Bacterial small subunit ribosomal RNA", at positions 102 to 334 of the family's 1533-position model. The record is from RNAcentral. Lineage: Bacteria; Bacillati; Bacillota; Bacilli; Caryophanales; Staphylococcaceae.